GUGCUCCUGUUCACAGCACAUAUACUAAAAUUGGAAUGAUACAGAGAAAAUUAGCAUGACCCCUGCACAAGGAUGACACACAAAUUUGUGAAGUGUUCCACAUUUUU
Small nuclear RNA from Otolemur garnettii (small-eared galago), 107 nucleotides. The record is from Ensembl. Lineage: Eukaryota; Metazoa; Chordata; Mammalia; Primates; Galagidae.